UACGUAGGGGGCAAGCGUUGUCCGGAUUUAUUGGGCGUAAAGAGCGUGUAGGCGGCCCGAUAAGUCCGCUGUGAAAGUCCAGGGCUCAACCCUGGAAUGCCAGUGGAAACUGUCGGGCUGGAGUCCGGAAGAGGCGAGUGGAAUUCCUGGUGUAGCGGUGAAAUGCGCAGAUAUCAGGAGGAACACCAAUGGCGAAGGCAGCUCGCUGGGACGGUACUGACGCUGAGACGCGAAAGCGUGGGGAGCAAACAGG
This 253-nucleotide ribosomal RNA is filed under the name uncultured bacterium. RNAcentral describes it as "partial 16S ribosomal RNA". It matches the Rfam family "Bacterial small subunit ribosomal RNA", at positions 524 to 776 of the family's 1533-position model. The record is from RNAcentral.